GUGCCAGCAGCCGCGGUAAUACCAGCCCCGCGAGUGGUUGGGACGUUUACUAGGCCUAAAGCGCCUGUAGCCGGCCCUGUAAGUCCCUCCCUAAAGGCCCGGGCUCAACCCGGGAACCGGGAGGGAUACUGCAGGGCUAGGGGGCGGGAGAGGCGGGGGGUACUCCCGGAGUAGGGGCGAAAUCCGUAGAUCCCGGGAGGACCACCAGUGGUGAAGGCGCCCCGCUAGAACGCGCCCGACGGUGAGAGGCGAAAGCCGGGGCAGCAAAAGGGAUUAGAUACCCCUGUAGUCCCGGCUGUAAACUAUGCGGGCCAGGUGUCGGGCGGGCGUUAGAGCCCGCCCGGUGCCGCAGGGAAGCCGUUAAGCCCGCCGCCUGGGGAGUACGGCCGCAAGGCUGAAACUUAAAGGAAUUGGCGGGGGGGCACACAAGGGGUGGAACCUGCGGCUCAAUUGGAGUCAACACCUGGAAGCUUACCGGGGGAGACCGCAGGAUGACGGCCAGGCUAACGACCUUGCCUGACUCGCGGAGAGGAGGUGCAUGGCCGUCGCCAGUUCGUGUUGUGAAAUGUCCGGUUAAGUCCGGCAACGAGCGAGACCCCCACCCCUAGUUGGUACCCUGGCCUCCGGGCCAGGGCCACACUAGGGGGACUGCCGCCGUAAGGCGGAGGAAGGAGGGGGCCACGGCAGGUCAGCAUGCCCCGAAACCCCCGGGCCGCACGCGGGUUACAAUGGCAGGGACAGCGGGAUCCUGCCCCGAGAGGGGUGGGCAAUCCCUAAACCCUGCCUCAGUUGGGAUCGAGGGCUGCAACUCGCCCUCGUGAACGAGGAAUCCCUAGUAACCGCAGGUCACCAACCUGCGGUGAAUACGUCCCUGCUCCUUGCACACACCGCCCGUC
This 896-nucleotide ribosomal RNA is filed under the name uncultured archaeon. RNAcentral describes it as "SSU rRNA". It matches the Rfam family "Archaeal small subunit ribosomal RNA", at positions 455 to 1354 of the family's 1478-position model. The record is from RNAcentral.